Mus musculus (house mouse) is the source of this 255-nucleotide long non-coding RNA. RefSeq annotates it as predicted gene, 34874. Lineage: Eukaryota; Metazoa; Chordata; Mammalia; Rodentia; Muridae. The record is from RefSeq and is a predicted model, not a curated record. The transcript is spliced from 3 exons.
UGCGCCCAAGAGAAGAGGUGAAAGAAGAGCUAAGAUGGGAGAUGAGGAUCUAACGCAAGCUCUACUUGGGCACCACUUGAGAAUACACGGUUGAUGUAGCUGCUACCCAGACCAGCUAAACCACCUAUGAUCAGGAGACCCCAGCAAUGAAGGGAGAUCAGGCGAAGAGCAAAAUGGACCAGGAUUCAGCUAAUCCAGCCUGAUGGAGUCACCUCAGCCUCACCUGCAAAAGAAAUGCACCCAAGAACUUCUGGU